UACGUAGGGUGCAGGCGUUAAUCGGAAUUACUGGGCGUAAAGCGUGCGCAGGCGGUCUUUUAAGUCAGAUGUGAAAUCCCCGGGCUUAACCUGGGAACUGCGUUUGAAACUGGAAGGCUAGAGUGCGGUAGGGGAGCGGGGAAUUCCUGGUGUAGCGGUGAAAUGCGCAGAUAUCGGGAGGAACACCAAUGGCGAAGGCAGCUCGCUGGGACGGUACUGACGCUGAGACGCGAAAGAGUGGGGAGCAAACAGG
RNAcentral lists this ribosomal RNA (253 nucleotides) under uncultured bacterium. RNAcentral describes it as "partial 16S ribosomal RNA". It matches the Rfam family "Bacterial small subunit ribosomal RNA", at positions 524 to 776 of the family's 1533-position model. The record is from RNAcentral.